CGGGCGGUAGCUCAGCUUGGUAGAGCUUCCGGCUGUAGACCGGAUUGUCGCAGGUUCAAAUCCCGCCCGCCCGACCA
RNAcentral lists this transfer RNA (77 nucleotides) under Candidatus Bathyarchaeota archaeon. Its description in RNAcentral is "tRNA-Tyr". It matches the Rfam family "tRNA". From Rfam's summary of the family: Transfer RNA (tRNA) molecules are approximately 80 nucleotides in length. The record is from RNAcentral. RNAcentral also lists the same sequence under 3 other names. Lineage: Archaea; Thermoproteati; Candidatus Bathyarchaeota.